RNAcentral lists this ribosomal RNA (382 nucleotides) under uncultured eukaryote. RNAcentral's name for it is "partial 18S ribosomal RNA". It matches the Rfam family "Eukaryotic small subunit ribosomal RNA", at positions 592 to 976 of the family's 1831-position model. The record is from RNAcentral.
UGUAUGCGUAUACCAAAGUUGUUGCAGUUAAAACGCUCGUAGUCGGAAUUUGGCAGUUCCGGAUGUGUGCACGUCGUGUGCGCACUUCGCGGGGAUUGCUUUUGUGGUCUUGCGUAGGAUGAGGCACUUUUAUUAGUGAACGUCCUCACGCAACCACUUUUUACUGUGAGAAAAUCAGAGUGCUCAAAGCAGGCAUUUGCCGUGAAUGUAUUAGCAUGGAAUAAUAGAAUAGGACUUGGUUCUAUUUUGUUGGUUUGUUGGGACUGAGUAAUGAUUAAGAGGGACAGUUGGGGGCAUUUGUAUUUCGGUGCUAGAGGUGAAAUUCUUAGAUUACCGAAAGACAAACUGCUGCGAAAGCGUCUGCCAAGGAUGUUUUCAUUGA